ACGGAAGGCAGCAGUGGGGAAUAUUGGGCAAUGGGCGCAAGCCUGACCCAGCAAUGCCGCGUGAAGGAAGAAGGCUUUCGGGUUGUAAACUUCUUUUUAGUGGGACGACAAUGACGGUACCACUUGAAUAAGCUCCGGCUAACUAUGUGCCAGCAGCCGCGGUAAUACGUAGGGAGCAAGCGUUAUCCGGAUUUACUGGGUGUAAAGGGCGUGUAGGCGGGACAUCAAGUCAGAUGUGAAAGCACGAGGCUCAACUUCGUGUCCGCAUUUGAAACUGACGUUCUUGAGCGUUGGAGAGGCUAACGGAACUCCUAGUGUAGCGGUGAAAUGCGUAGAUAUUAGGAGGAACACCGGUGGCGAAGGCGGCUUGCUGGGCUUUUACUGACGCUGAGGCUCGAAAGCGUGGGUAGCAAACAGGAUUAGAUACCCUGGUA
Molecule: ribosomal RNA, 434 nt
Filed under: uncultured Oscillospiraceae bacterium
Lineage: Bacteria; Bacillati; Bacillota; Clostridia; Eubacteriales; Oscillospiraceae
Description: bacterial SSU rRNA
Rfam family: Bacterial small subunit ribosomal RNA
Source: RNAcentral